Molecule: unclassified non-coding RNA, 240 nt
Filed under: Rhizophagus sp. (in: glomeromycetes)
Lineage: Eukaryota; Fungi; Glomeromycota; Glomeromycetes; Glomerales; Glomeraceae
Description: partial contains 5.8S ribosomal RNA and internal transcribed spacer 2
Rfam family: 5.8S ribosomal RNA (bases 1-71)
Source: RNAcentral
GUGAAUCAUCAAAUCUUUGAACGCAAAUUGCGCUUCCCGGCAUCCCGGGAAGUAUGCGUGUUUGAGGGUCAGUAUUAACAAAAAAUCGGUUUGGUUGAUAAUUGUGACGUUUCCGGAGUCUGGGUUAUCUUAACUUUUUUGGUUGAGGGGUUUAAAAUUGACCUUUUUUGCGCAUUUUUAGACGUACAUAAAUUUUUUUUUUAAUGGUUUAGUUCUAAUGCUAAAAUUGUAUUUGACUUC